RNAcentral lists this ribosomal RNA (274 nucleotides) under uncultured bacterium. Its description in RNAcentral is "partial 16S ribosomal RNA". It matches the Rfam family "Bacterial small subunit ribosomal RNA", at positions 523 to 796 of the family's 1533-position model. The record is from RNAcentral.
AUACGGAGGGUGCAAACGUUGUUCGGAAUCACUGGGCAUAAAGAGCUCGUAGGCGGCUGUGCAAGUGUGAAGUGAAAUCCCACGGCUCACCCGUGGAACUGCUUUGCAGACUGCACGGCUAGAGGAUGGUAGGGGAGAGCGGAACUCCUGGUGGAGCGGUGAAAUGCGUAGAUAUCAGGAGGAACACCGGUGGCGAAGGCGGCUCUCUGGUCCAUUCCUGACGCUGAGGAGCGAAAGCUAGGGUAGCGAACGGGAUUAGAAACCCCUGUAGUCC